AUUGAACGCUGGCGGCAUGCCUUACACAUGCAAGUCGAACGGCAGCACGGGAGCAAUCCUGGUGGCGAGUGGCGAACGGGUGAGCAAUAUAUCGGAACGUGCCCAGUCGUGGGGGAUAACGUAGCGAAAGCUACGCUAAUACCGCAUACGAUCUAUGGAUGAAAGCGGGGGAUCGCAAGACCUCGCGCGAUUGGAGCGGCCGAUAUCAGAUUAGGUAGUUGGUGAGGUAAAGGCUCACCAAGCCGACGAUCUGUAGCUGGUCUGAGAGGACGACCAGCCACACUGGGACUGAGACACGGCCCAGACUCCUACGGGAGGCAGCAGUGGGGAAUUUUGGACAAUGGGCGCAAGCCUGAUCCAGCAAUGCCGCGUGCAGGAUGAAGGCCUUCGGGUUGUAAACUGCUUUUGUACGGAACGAAACGGCGAGCUCUAAUACAGUUUGCUAAUGACGGUACCGUAAGAAUAAGCACCGGCUAACUACGUGCCAGCCGCCGCGGUAA
Molecule: ribosomal RNA, 500 nt
Filed under: uncultured bacterium
Lineage: Bacteria
Description: partial 16S ribosomal RNA
Rfam family: Bacterial small subunit ribosomal RNA
Source: RNAcentral